Molecule: ribosomal RNA, 253 nt
Filed under: uncultured bacterium
Lineage: Bacteria
Description: partial 16S ribosomal RNA
Rfam family: Bacterial small subunit ribosomal RNA
Source: RNAcentral
UACGGAGGGUGCAAGCGUUAUCCGGAUUUACUGGGUUUAAAGGGUGCGUAGGCGGACGAUUAAGUUAGAUGUGAAAGCUUGCAGCUCAACUGUAAGAUUGCGUUUGAUACUGGUCGUCUUGAAUUUGGUAGAAGUGGGCGGAAUAAAUCAUGUAGCGGUGAAAUGCAUAGAUAUGAUUUAGAACACCGAUUGCGAAGGCAGCUCGCUAUGUCAAUAUUGACGCUGAGGCACGAAAGCGUGGGGAUCAAACAGG